ACUUUAAUUGAAGAGUUUGAUCAUGGCUCAGAUUGAACGCUGGCGGCAGGCCUAACACAUGCAAGUCGAGCGGUAACAGAUUGAUAGCUUGCUAUCAAUGCUGACGAGCGGCGGACGGGUGAGUAAUGCCUGGGAAUAUACCCUGAUGUGGGGGAUAACUAUUGGAAACGAUAGCUAAUACCGCAUAAUCUC
Molecule: ribosomal RNA, 192 nt
Filed under: Photobacterium iliopiscarium
Lineage: Bacteria; Pseudomonadati; Pseudomonadota; Gammaproteobacteria; Vibrionales; Vibrionaceae
Description: partial 16S ribosomal RNA
Rfam family: Bacterial small subunit ribosomal RNA
Source: RNAcentral